Molecule: ribosomal RNA, 440 nt
Filed under: uncultured bacterium
Lineage: Bacteria
Description: bacterial SSU rRNA
Rfam family: Bacterial small subunit ribosomal RNA
Source: RNAcentral
CUACGGGAGGCAGCAGUGGGGAAUUUUGCGCAAUGGGGGAAACCCUGACGCAGCGACGCCGCGUGGAGGAUGACGUCUUUCGGGAUGUAAACUCCUGUCAGUGGGAACGAUAAUGACGGUACCCACAGAGGAAGCACCGGCUAACUCCGUGCCAGCAGCCGCGGUAAGACGGAGGGUGCAAGCGUUGUUCGGAAUUACUGGGCGUAAAGCGUACGUAGGCGGUUGAUUAAGUCAGAUGUUAAAGCCCGGAGCUCAACUCCGAGGAUGCACUUGAUACUGGUCGACUAGAGGGCGAUAGAGGAAAGCGGAAUUCCGAGUGUAGCGGUGAAAUGCGUAGAUAUUCGGAGGAACAUCGGUAGCGAAAGCGGCUUUCUGGGUCGCUCCUGACGCUGAGGUACGAAAGCGUGGGUAGCAAACGGGAUUAGAAACCCUAGUAGUCC